RNAcentral lists this ribosomal RNA (114 nucleotides) under uncultured bacterium. Its description in RNAcentral is "partial 16S ribosomal RNA". It matches the Rfam family "Bacterial small subunit ribosomal RNA", at positions 1357 to 1482 of the family's 1533-position model. The record is from RNAcentral.
CUGCGGUGAAUACGUUCUCGAGUCUUGUACNCACCGCCCGUCAAGCCAAGGGAGCCGGGAAUACCCGAAGCCCCCGCAUUAGCGGGGUUUACGGUAAGCUCGGUGACAAGGGUU